Molecule: long non-coding RNA, 792 nt
Organism: Oncorhynchus tshawytscha (Chinook salmon)
Lineage: Eukaryota; Metazoa; Chordata; Actinopteri; Salmoniformes; Salmonidae
Source: Ensembl
UUCCCAGACGAUAAAACAAGAAAAGAGAGGUGACCUGGGUGGGAAUAAGGGUGAUGGUUUGGGGUCAGCAUGGUGUUGGUAGUGUGAUGGUUUGGGGUCAGCAUGGUGGUGGUAGUUGUGAUGGUUUGGGGUCAGCAUGGUGUUGGUAGUGUGAUGGUUUGGGGUCCAGCAUGGUGGUGGUAGUGUGAUGAUGUUUGGGGUCAGCAUGUUUGGGGUCAAGCAUGGUGGUGGUAGUGUGAUGGUUUGGGGUCAGCAUGGUGUUGGUAGUGUGAUGGUUUGGGGUCAGCAUGGUGAAUGGUGGUGUGAUGGUUUGGGGUCAGCAUGGUGGUGGUAGUGUGAUGGUUUGGGGUCAGCAUGGUGGUGGUGGUAGUGUGAUGGUUUGGGGUCAGCAUGGUGGUGGUAGUGUGAUGGUUUGGGGUCAGCAUGGUGGUGGUACUGUGAUGGUUUGGGGUCCAGCAUUGUGGUGGUAGUGUGAUGGUUUGGGGUCCAGCAUGGUGGUGGUAGUGUGAUGGUUUGGGGUCAACAUGGUGGUGGUGGUAGUGUGAUGGUUUGGGGUCAGCAUGGUGGUGGUAGUGUGAUGGUUUGGGGUCAGCAUGGUGGUGGUGGUAGUGUGAUGGUUUGGGGUCAGCAUGGUGGUGGUAGUGUGAUGGUUUGGGGUCCAGCAUGGUGGUGGUAGUGUGAUGGUUUGGGGUCCAGCAUGGUGGUGGUAGUGUGAUGGUUUGGGGUCCAGCAUGGUGGUGGCAGUGUGAUGGUUUGGGGUCAGCAUGGUGGUGGUAGUGUGAUGGUUUUGGG